Molecule: small nuclear RNA, 21 nt
Filed under: Arabidopsis thaliana (thale cress)
Lineage: Eukaryota; Viridiplantae; Streptophyta; Magnoliopsida; Brassicales; Brassicaceae
Description: snRNA_05194
Source: RNAcentral
AGAAGAAUUUUAACUUUUAAC